This 749-nucleotide ribosomal RNA is filed under the name uncultured archaeon. RNAcentral's name for it is "partial 16S ribosomal RNA". It matches the Rfam family "Archaeal small subunit ribosomal RNA", at positions 38 to 820 of the family's 1478-position model. The record is from RNAcentral.
UUCCAAUUUCAGCUUGCACGUAAGCCUCUCAUUCACGGGCCCGGGAUCCGAUUAGCUCAGUAACACGUGGAGAACGUGCCCUUAAGUGGGGGAUAAUCUCGGGAAAUUGAGGAUAAUACCCCAUAGGUCAUGGGAUCUGGAAUGACCCAUGGCUGAAAGUUCCGGCGCUUAAGGAUCGCUCUGCGGCCUAUUUUUUUUUUUGUGGGUGUAACGUACCCCCUAGCCUACGACGGGUAUGGGCCUUGAGAGAGGGAGCCCAGAGUCGGACAAAAACCACACGAAUCCAGGCCCUACGGGGCGCAGCUUUUCUUUUUUACUUCACACUGGGGGGAACCCCCCCCGAGGGAAUUCCUAGUGCUUGGGCAUUUGUCCAAGCUUUUCCCGAGCGUAGAUAACUCGGGGAAUAAGGGCUGGGUAAGACGGGUGCCAGCCGCCGCGGUAAUACCCGCAGCCCAAGUGGUGGUCGAUUUUAUUGAGUCUAAACGUUCGUAGCCGGUUUGGUAAAUCCUUGGGUAAAUCGAGAGGCUUACUUCUCGAAUUCGAGGAGACUGCCAAACUUGGGACCGGGAGAGGCGAAGAGGUACUUCUGGGGUAGGGGUUAAAUCCUGUAAUCUGAAGACCACGGUGGCGAGCGUCUCGCUAGAACGAUCGACGGUGAGACGAGCUUGGGUCACCUGAUAAUCCUGUAGUCAGGUUACCCUGCACUUGGGUGGAGCUUCGGGCAUCAUGCCGGGACGACAGUUGUAUGG